Molecule: ribosomal RNA, 306 nt
Filed under: uncultured bacterium
Lineage: Bacteria
Description: bacterial SSU rRNA
Rfam family: Bacterial small subunit ribosomal RNA
Source: RNAcentral
GAAACCCCGGCUAACUCCGUGCCAGCAGCCGCGGUAAUACGGAGGGGUUAGCGUUGUUCGGAAUUACUGGGCGUAAAGCGCGCGUAGGCGGAUUAGUCAGUUAGAGGUGAAAUCCCAGGGCUCAACCCUGGAACUGCCUUUAAUACUGCUAGUCUUGAGUUCGAGAGAGGUGAGUGGAAUUCCGAGUGUAGAGGUGAAAUUCGUAGAUAUUCGGAGGAACACCAGUGGCGAAGGCGGCUCACUGGCUCGAUACUGACGCUGAGGUGCGAAAGUGUGGGGAGCAAACAGGAUUAGAUACCCUGGUAG